RNAcentral lists this ribosomal RNA (445 nucleotides) under uncultured Sphingobacteriales bacterium. RNAcentral describes it as "bacterial SSU rRNA". It matches the Rfam family "Bacterial small subunit ribosomal RNA", at positions 933 to 1382 of the family's 1533-position model. Lineage: Bacteria; Pseudomonadati; Bacteroidota; Sphingobacteriia; Sphingobacteriales. The record is from RNAcentral.
UGGAACAUGUGGUUUAAUUCGAUGAUACGCGAGGAACCUUACCUGGGCUUAAAUGGGGAGUGACAGCUGUCGAAAGAUGGUUUCUUCGGACACUCUUCAAGGUGCUGCAUGGUUGUCGUCAGCUCGUGCCGUGAGGUGUCGGGUUAAGUCCCAUAACGAGCGCAACCCUUACCGUUAGUUACCAUCAGGUUAAGCUGGGGACUCUAGCGGGACUGCCACCGUAAGGUGAGAGGAAGUGGGGAUGACGUCAAAUCAGCACGGCCCUUAUGUCCAGGGCUACACACGUGUUACAAUGGCCAGUACAAAGGGCAGCUACCGGGUGACCGGAUGCUAAUCUCUAAAGCUGGUCUCAGUUCGGAUCGAAGUCUGCAACCCGACUUCGUGAAGCUGGAUUCGCUAGUAAUCGCGCAUCAGCCAUGGCGCGGUGAAUACGUUCCCGGGCCUU